This 433-nucleotide ribosomal RNA is filed under the name uncultured bacterium. RNAcentral's name for it is "partial 16S ribosomal RNA". It matches the Rfam family "Bacterial small subunit ribosomal RNA", at positions 29 to 507 of the family's 1533-position model. The record is from RNAcentral.
AACGAACGCUGGCGGCAUGCCUAACACAUGCAGGUCGAACGAGACCUUCGGGUCUAGUGGCGCACGGGUGCGUAACGCGUGGGAACCUGCCCUUAGGUUCGGAAUAACUCCCCGAAAGGGGUGCUAAUACCGGAUAAUGUCUUCGGACCAAAGAUUUAUCGCCUUUGGAUGGGCCCGCGUUGGAUUAGCUAGUUGGUAGGGUAAAAGCCUACCAAGGCGACGAUCCAUAGCUGGUCUGAGAAGAUGAUCAGCCACACUGGGACUGAGACACGGCCCAGACUCCUACGGGAAGCAGCAGUGGGGAAUAUUGGACAAUGGGCGAAAGCCUGAUCCAGCAAUGCCGCGUGAGUGAUGAAGGCCUUAGGGUUGUAAAGCUCUUUUACCCGGGAAGAUAAUGACAGUACCGGGAGAAUAAGCUCCGGCUAACUCCGUG